This 253-nucleotide ribosomal RNA is filed under the name uncultured bacterium. RNAcentral's name for it is "partial 16S ribosomal RNA". It matches the Rfam family "Bacterial small subunit ribosomal RNA", at positions 524 to 776 of the family's 1533-position model. The record is from RNAcentral.
UACGUAGGGGGCAAGCGUUGUCCGGAUUUAUUGGGCGUAAAGAGCGUGUAGGCGGCCAGACAAGUCUGCUGUGAAAACUCGAGGCUCAACCUCGAGCUGUCGGUGGAAACUGUCUGGCUAGAGUCCGGAAGAGGAGAGUGGAAUUCCUGGUGUAGCGGUGAAAUGCGCAGAUAUCAGGAAGAACACCUAUGGCGAAGGCAGCUCUCUGGGACGGUACUGACACUGAGGCACGAAAGCGUGGGGAGCAAACAGG